This 253-nucleotide ribosomal RNA is filed under the name uncultured bacterium. RNAcentral describes it as "partial 16S ribosomal RNA". It matches the Rfam family "Bacterial small subunit ribosomal RNA", at positions 524 to 776 of the family's 1533-position model. The record is from RNAcentral.
UACGAAGGGGGCUAGCGUUGUACGGAUUUACUGGGCGUAAAGCGCACGUAGGCGGAUCGUUAAGUCGGGGGUGAAAUCCUGGAGCUCAACUCCAGAACUGCCUUCGAUACUGGCGAUCUUGAGUCCGGAAGAGGUGAGUGGAACUCCUAGUGUAGAGGUGGAAUUCGUAGAUAUUAGGAAGAACACCAGUGGCGAAAGGCGGCUCACUGGUCCGGUACUGACGCUGAGGUGCGAAAGCGUGGGAGCAAACAGG